This 440-nucleotide ribosomal RNA is filed under the name uncultured bacterium. RNAcentral's name for it is "partial 16S ribosomal RNA". It matches the Rfam family "Bacterial small subunit ribosomal RNA", at positions 338 to 795 of the family's 1533-position model. The record is from RNAcentral.
CCUACGGGCGGCAGCAGUAGGGAAUAUUGCUCAAUGGGGGAAACCCUGAAGCAGCAACGCCGCGUGGAGGAUGAAGGUUUUCGGAUUGUAAACUCCUUUUGUUAGAGAAGCUAGUGCCGGUAUCUAACGCAUAAGCACCGGCUAACUCCGUGCCAGCAGCCGCGGUAAUACGGCGGGUGCAAGCGUUACACGGAAUCACUGGGCGUAAAGAGCGAGUAGGCGGGAUAGCAAGUCAGAUGUGAAAUCCUAUGGCUUAACCAUAGAACUGCAUUUGAAACUGGUAUUCUAGAGUAGGGGAGAGGUAGGUGGAAUGCUUGGUGUAGGGGUAAAAUGCGUAGAGAUCAAGAGGAAUACUGAUUGCGAAGGCGACCUGCUAGAUCAUAACUGACGCUGAGGCACGAAAGCGUGGGUAGCAAACAGGAUUAGAUACCCGUGUAGUC